Molecule: ribosomal RNA, 274 nt
Filed under: uncultured bacterium
Lineage: Bacteria
Description: partial 16S ribosomal RNA
Rfam family: Bacterial small subunit ribosomal RNA
Source: RNAcentral
AUACGGAGGGGGUUAGCGUUGUUCGGAAUUACUGGGCGUAAAACGUACGUAGGCGGAUCGGAAAGUAAGGGGUGAAAUCCCAGGGCUCAACCCUGGAACUGCCUCUUAAACUCCCGGUCUUGAGUUCGAGAGAGGUGAGUGGAAUUCCUAGUGUAGAGGUGAAAUUCGUAGAUAUUAGGAGGAACACCAGUGGCGAAGGCGGCUCACUGGCUCGAUACUGACGCUGAGGUACGAAAGUGUGGGGAGCAAACAGGAUUAGAAACCCUAGUAGUCC